AGAGCCUACCAUGGUGGUAACGGGUAACGGGGUGUUAGGGCACGACACCGGAGAGGGAGCCUGAGAAACGGCUACCACAUCCAAGGAUGGCAGCAGGCGCGCAAAUUACCCAAUCCCGACACGGGGAGGUAGUGACAAUAAAUAACAAUACGGGGUUCUUUCGGAUUUCGUAAUUGGAAUGAGUACAAUUUAAAUCUCUUAACGAGGAACAAUUGGAGGGCAAGUCUGGUGCCAGCAGCCGCGGUAAUUCCAGCUCCAAUAGCGUAUAUUAAAGUUGCUGCAGUUAAAAAGCUCGUAGUUGAAUUUCGGGACCAAUAUGUCGGUCGUGCCUCGGUACGUACUGGCAUCGUUGGUUUCUCCCUUCUGACGAACCAUGAUGUCAUUUAUUUGGUGUCGUGGGGAAUCAGGACUGUUACUUUGAAAAAAUUAGAGUGUUUAAAGCAGGCUCACGCUUGAAUACAUUAGCAUGGAAUAAUGAAAUAGGACGUUUGAUUCUAUUUUGUUGGUUUCUAGGAUCGACGUAAUGAUUAAUAGGGAUAGUUGGGGGCAUUAGUAUUCAAUUGUCAGAGGUGAAAUUCUUGGAUUUAUUGAAGACUAACUACUGCGAAAGCAUUUGCCAAGGAUGUUUUCAUUAAUCAAGAACGAAAGUUAGGGGAUCGAAGACGAUCAGAUACCGUCGUAGUCUUAACCAUAAACUAUGCCGACUAGGGAUCGGAUGAUGUUAAUUUUUUAAUGACUCAUUCGGCGCCUUACGGGAACAG
Molecule: ribosomal RNA, 761 nt
Filed under: uncultured Glomeromycotina
Lineage: Eukaryota; Fungi; Glomeromycota
Description: SSU rRNA
Rfam family: Eukaryotic small subunit ribosomal RNA
Source: RNAcentral